This 486-nucleotide ribosomal RNA is filed under the name uncultured bacterium. RNAcentral describes it as "partial 16S ribosomal RNA". It matches the Rfam family "Bacterial small subunit ribosomal RNA", at positions 28 to 507 of the family's 1533-position model. The record is from RNAcentral.
GACGAACGCUGGCGGCGUGCUUAACACAUGCAAGUCGAACGCUGAAGGCCUGGCUUUUGUUGGGUUGGAUGAGUGGCGAACGGGUGAGUAACACGUGAGUAACCUGCCCUCUUCUUUGGGAUAACGCCCGGAAACGGGUGCUAAUACUGGAUAUUCACUGAUCUUCGCAUGGGGGUUGGUGGAAAGGUUUGUUCUGGUGGGGGAUGGGCUCGCGGCCUAUCAGCUUGUUGGUGGGGUGAUGGCCUACCAAGGCUUUGACGGGUAGCCGGCCUGAGAGGGUGACCGGUCACAUUGGGACUGAGAUACGGCCCAGACUCCUACGGGAGGCAGCAGUGGGGAAUAUUGCACAAUGGGCGAAAGCCUGAUGCAGCGACGCCGCGUGAGGGAUGGAGGCCUUCGGGUUGGAAACCUCUUUCGCUCAUGGUCAAGCCGCAACUGUGGGUUGUGGUGAGGGUAGUGGGUAAAGAAGCGCCGGCUAACUACGUG